CUUGCCGGACUCCUCGCAGCCAGGUGGCUUGAAAGCGAUGAAGCUGAUGCACUGUACUUGCCUGGUGUUGUCGAAGCCGAUGAUGCGGACAUAGGCGCCAGGGUAUUCCUUCUUGACCUCCUCCAACUCCUUGAGCACCUGCGUGGCGUCAGUGCACCCGAACAUGGGAAGCUUCCACAUUGUCCAGUACCUCCCGUCCUAGUACCCUGGGGAGUUGCCGUGCUCACGGAAGACGAAACCGACCUUGCUGAACUCGAGGCAAGGAACCCAUUUGGAGCGGAUGAGAUACUCGAUCUGCUUCAGGAGGGACUCCACGGUGAGAGGUGGCAGGUAGGAAAGGGUCUCGAACUUCUUGAUGCCCUCAAUUGGCCACACCUGCAAUUAGAUUAAAAUUAGCACACAAAGUGUGAUUUGAGACACAUAUCGAUGGAGUAUUUCACUUCACACAUAUCGGUAUGAUGAUAUACAUACCUGCAUGCUCGUGAUCCUGCCACCGUUGGAGACGCUGCCGAGGCCAGCGCCGGCAGAGCGGCGGCUGACGGGGAGCCCGGCGGUGGACUUGAGGCCCCGGAAAGGAGCAACAGCGGUAGCCGCCGCCGACAUCACUGUCGGACCCAUAGCAUCCACCCUUGUAUCACUAGAGUAUAUCUACUUAGCUAAUAUGCUAAGUUUGGCACGGAGAGAGGAGGUCGAGUGGACUUCAUUCCUGGUCACAAGGGUUUAUAUAUACCAUAUAACAUACGAGCAAUUUGUGAUUAAUUUGUUGUCGUUCUAGGAGAUGUGGAAAGGGUGGAUGCCGUUCGUUGGUUGCCUUAUCCGUUCUAGAGAAGGGAUGGAUGACCGACGCUCGCUCAGCCGUCUCCUUCGUCCAUCGUUGCCAAUCUUUCUAGCUAUAAUUGGAAGUUCCAAAGGAACAUACGGUUUCAUGCCUACUUCCAUCGGCCUAUCAUGUACCAAUCCAAUAAAAGGACAUCGUUCAACCAUCAAUCCAUGUGUGUGUAGUAAGUGAUUGGCUACGAACCUUCAGCUGACUUGCUUUAUUGGAUAUUUCUGUAAAGCGAGUCCACGGUGUGUGGGUUUAAAAUCUCGUGGCGGCAACUGUUGACGGGUGCAAAUAUCAGUAGCCUUAAAACAAUAAACUUUACUCCGUCCCUUCCGAAAUGCAAGAAUGUCCUAAGUCAAACUUCUUAUGCUGCAGGACCAUAGUUUUUGAGGUGUUCUUCUCACGAGUCCACGAAGAACGGGAAUUUUUUGGUGUCGGGUAAGGGCGGGGGAAUAUAUAGAUGCUAGCAUCAGCAUGACGGGCUAACGGGUCAGGUAGGAUUUUGGACGACGUAGCACCUGACAUGUGGGGGCCACAUGUAAGAAAACCUGUCAAAAUGUCAUAACCCUCUGUUUUGGUCAACUUGAUACAAUCUGAUACAAAACGUGUGGUUUUCCUGACAAAUUAGCAAAUUUUGUGUCUCUGUGAGAAGCACGCCCCAAAAACUGUGGUUCCGUGAAAUUUAUUCACUAGUUACACUUUAUCUACAAACAUCUACGAUUCUAAAAUAGUUUGGUAUAUAUUUUCCGUAAUAUAAUUAUUUGAUAUUCUAAAUUCGGGGAUUUGUUCUUAUAAACUUGGUCGAAGUUUAAAAAGUUUGACUUCGGACAAAGUUACGACUUUUUACAUUUAGGAAUGAAGGGAAUACAUUUUAGUAAAGCAAUUGAGGAAUUGACAGAAUUAAAUAUCUUAAAUUAUACUGGUCCAUCGUGUACUCAUGGCAACAAAAUAAAUUUAUAGUCGAAAAGUUGGACCAUGAAAACUUAAAACGUGAUACAUUAAAAUUGUUGAAUCACUCUACAUCUUGUAAUUUUCUCUUGCAACCUUCUGGCGCGCUACUCAUUCCACAUUUGGUACUAUAUGUAUAAAUGUAUAUAUAUACCGCAUUAGGAGCCUCUAUUACUGUUUUAGUAUAAAUAGCAGUUUCCAUCGACUAUGCACUUCAUUAACUUUUUCUUCACGAGAUAACUUGCUUAUCGAUUUUCUUUAAUUAUCCAGAUGGCUUCUACUAGUUUGUUUCCUUGCUUACUGGGAUUUCCGCAGACUUUACGGUUAGGUAUUAUUGUCGUGUGGACAACACGGUGGCCGGAUGUUGAGAUGAUGAUGUCCUUUAUCUCCGUGUUGCUUCUGAGGACUGCGGAUCCGAGGCUAGUGGCGGUAUGGGAUGCCUCUCUACCUCUUGAUCAGGUCAAUCCGGCUCAGCAAGAGGCGGAUCGAUGGUGGCCGGUGUGACUAGAAGCGGGGAGGUAUAUAUGAAACGUUUCUUGCUUCCAGCAUCUCUUCUAGCGGUAUAUAUGUCGUCAGCUGGUUGAGGGAUUGAUGGCAAUCGAUCAUGGCUACGAUGACAUGUAUACGCGCCGGUAGGAACACAUAUCAGGCAAUGUCGAUGCACCUGCAUUGGGCCCUUGCUGAAGGUGGUGGUGCGUAUGGCAGUCUAAAGAUUUAAGACACAAAUUUAGACUUAAAACUUAAAUAAUCAAUUUGUGCCAGCGGGAAACACACAAACACGUACCGGUAAAUUAUCAUAAUCAGAAUUUGUCGACGAAUUUGAUAUUCUUUUACAAAAUAUACUUAUCUUAAUAUGUAUAACCGGAGUUUAUAUUACAUGCCCCUCUCCCAACGAUAGUUGUAGUACUCUUAUAAUAGUAGUACUCAUGAAUACAGUUAAUCCGGGUUGUUGGGAGAGAUCACAUGCAUAAAUACAACAUGAAACAAACGUGUGAAAAAGGUACAUAAAAUCGGUGUGACCCGUUCUUGUAUUAUAAGAAAUCAACUUGCUUAGGCCUUGCCGGACUCCUCACAACCCGGUGGCUUGAAGGCGAUGAAGCUGAUGCACUGCACUUGCCUGGUGUUGUCGAAGCCGAUGAUGCGGACAUAGGCGUCAGGGUACUCCUUCUUCACCUCCUCCAGCUCCUUUAGCACCUGCGUGGCGUCGGUGCACCCGAACAUGGGAAGCUUCCACAUUGUCCAGUACCUGCCGUCGUAGUACCCGGGAGAGUUGCCGUGCUCACGGAAGACGAAACCGACCUUGCUGAACUCGAGGCAAGGAACCCACUUGGAGCGGAUGAGAUACUCGAUCUGCUUCAAGAGGGACUCCACGGUGAGAGGCGGCAGGUAGGAAAGGGUUUCGAACUUCUUGAUGCCCUCAAUUGGCCACACCUACAAUUAGAUUAAUAAUUAGCACCGAAAGUAUAAUUUGAGACACAUAUCAGUAUUUCACUUCAACAUAUGUACAUGAUGACAUACAUACCUGCAUGCACCUGAUCCUUCCACCGUUGGAGACGCUGCCGAGACCAGCGCUGGCUGAGCGGCGGCCGAUGGGGAGCCCGGCGGUGGACUUGAGGCCCUGGAAAGGAGCAACGGCAGUAGCCGCUGACGACAUCACUGUGGGAGCCAUCGUACACGUACGUAGAUAGCUAACAAGAGGAGGCAGGCUUGCUUGAGUGCUCUCUAGCUACAGCGGCUUAUAUAACUGUAGGCUCCCCACCCAUCCAAUAUCAGCACAAGAUCUAGGAGGGGUGGCUGCAGUUCGCCGCGCGGAUUUGCCCAGGCCACGCUGGCAUCCUACGGAUCAGGUCGGGCGCCACAUGGCCGCACGAAAUGGCGCGCGUUAUCCUCUGGACGGAUACAAUUGGCUGCAACGCACUCUGCAAAUCAUGCCAUGAAGUGACCAAUUUUCACCUAUCAGGAUAGAUCCAAUGUGCCACGGCAUGCACUCAAAAACAGAACUUGCUAAUCCCUCCAAUCCAUAAAAAAUCUCGCCCACUUAUUAGAAAAUUUGUAAUGAGUUAAUGCAAAAUGAGCAGCACUUUUUAUGAACUAGAGGAACAACAAAUUAAGAGAAACUCUUCUAAGAUCUUAUCGAGAACGAAGCUUGCCCCCGCGUCGCUCAGUCUGGGGCGACACGGGCGGCAACCACACCAGCCCCGGCAGCAGCCUCUCCCCGUCCUCUCCUCCCCCUCGCCGCCGCCGGGCAAAGCCCGCACGGGGACGGCGGCGGCGGGGCUGUUUUUCUUGGCGGGGGUGUCCUAGAGCUCUUGGCUGAGGCGUUUGAGGUGCUGCCUCAUCGUGGUCGCGGCGUCUCCGGCCCGAUCCGGCAGGCUAUGCCUCGUCUUCGGCUAGAUCCGGCCGGCUUCCUCCCGGAUCCGGUGUUUCCCCUCGUUCUUCCUCUCCCUGGUGCUCGGUCUGCUCGUGGCUGCGCGGCUUCACGGCGGCGCUCUUCGGCCGGAUCUAGCUACUCGUUGGCCAGAUCCGUCAUCUCCUCCGGCUGAUCCGGCAUGUCCCAGGUCUCUUCGUUUCCAUCAUUUUUCCUCUCAGUUUGGUGAGGCGGCUGAUUGAACUUCACCGGCGGCAGAUGGGCUGCUGCUGCGGCCAUACAUGGUCCAAGUCGGUCCUUUUCGAUGCCAUGGUGGCGUGGUUUUCAUUUUCGGUCGCGUCUUCGGCUGCUGCCCGUGUGCGAGGUAUGGACGUCGGCUCCGGUGUUUGGAGUGUUGCUCUGGAUGAAAACUGCCCGUGUGCGAGGUAUGCCGAAGACAACGAUGUUGUAGCGCCGUUUUCCUUCUUGGAGGUGUCGUCGAAGAGCUUCACUUUCCCUCACUUUGAUGUUUGGUGUCUUCGGGUGAAAACCUAAGAUUUGGCUAUGGCCAGAUCGGGCGACAACGGCGUUUUUACGUCGAUUUCCUCCUUGGGGGCGUUGUCAUGGAGACAACGACUCUUGGUGGCAUCGGGUGGUGUGGUCCGUCUAUGGUGGAGCUUGUUGUCUCGAGUUGUUGAAGGUUUGGUGGUGUCUCUUCUUGUGUCAUGUGUUAGCUUAGGCUGUCGGUUUGUGUCCGGCGAGAACGUGCGUUUCUUAUCCUUUGGUGCGGUUUCGGCAUGUGAUGCCUUUCGUCUUCACUAUCGUCACGUAGGUGUCGUGUUGUAUUCUCGGUGGUGUGUGGUCUUUCGGCUUAGCCAACGGCAAGUGGAGGUAUGAUCUCGGUUGUGUAUUGCCCUUCGACUUCAUCGGCGGCACAUCGGCGUCGCGGUGGGUCUCAGUGACGCGCAGCCCUUCGACUCUGCCGGCUACGUAGGUGUCAUGGUGCGGCCUUGACCCUGUGCUUCCCUUCAGCUACGGCGACGACAUAGUGUCUGGGUGGGCUCGUCAGAUCGACGCCUUUCGACUACAUCAACUAUGCUCUUCAUUGUGCAUUUAUUUUGCCAUUGACAUGUUUCAAGAGUCUAGGUUUUUUCCUUGUGUUUCUUUUAGCAAAUGCUGUUCUGCAGGCUGGCUUUUGCCCACCCGAUCAGAAAAGAAAAACAAAUUAAAGGCUAAAAUCAAGCGAUGUUAUAUUCCCUUAGCUAUUACAAAUAUGGAUGAUAAGAGUUAUUUAUCCUUUUUCAACGAGUAACCCUUUACUUGGAAGUUCCAUGUGCAUGGCGCUGCAAGAAAACAAACAUCAUAAUGGGGCAAGACUUUUUUUUUUAUAAACAUCCAAUUUGGGUUAAAGUCUGAAAGAAUUUGGCUAUCUGAACUUUCAGUUUCCACAUUCUUUUACCUACUCAAUUCUUCAGCCAACAGGAUCAAUGGCGACCUACUAACACCAACCAGAACACAUGGGUCACAAACACGAAAAAGGGCUAGAAGGCUACUUAUACACACUCAUGUGUACUGCGAGCAAAAGAACAUAAUGUACAAAACUUUACAAAAUCUAGGGAAUUAAGACCUUCCCGUAUGCUGUUGCUGCCGCUGCUGCUUCAUGCUGGCUCUCCUGGCAACAUCCCAUGGUUUGUGAGGCACACCUACACCUUGCUGGGAUGCGAAGAACGACUCGUAUCCCGGGGAGUCGAAAGCAAAACCAGUGUGCUUGGAGUUCUCUCGAGGGAGCAUGGAGAUCGCAUAGCUUCUUGCUUCUUCUGGGCUCAAAUGGCUCCUCUCAGGCAGAUGUAUCAUGCUGUAUUCGUGGGGGUCAUCCUUGUGCAUCUCCUGGAUUACUUGGUAGUCAUAGGGAAAGAGCCAUCUUUGGAGCCUGAGAAAGCACACAGCAUCAAAGACAACAAUUGAUUCAGCUACUUCAGUAUGUACAAUGGAAGGAAUAACAAACGGAUGGCAUUAACAAACAUAUAAUUUUGCAAAAGAGCUGGUAUCUUACGAUAGAUACAGGAAAUCACCAAAGAGAGCGAUGACUGGAGCAAGCAUUAGUGUGAGGUAGAAGAAAAAGGUACUCAUCAGAACAUAAAUCACAAAAUAUACAUUUUCCUGCACAAGGUACACAGCAUUAAGUCAAUGCAUUUGUAGCAAGUAAUCGUCAUCAGCAGUGUAAUAGCUACAUUAUUCACCCACCUGUCGGUCAAAUGAUGUCAUUAUCGCAGAAUAUAUGAAGAUAAACAGAAACCAGGCCGCUAUACUGCCAGCUACGCUGAAAUAAUGCCAUCUCGUGAUAGAAUUGCACGACAUGAGGAGACGUAGAUUAACAGUCACCACAACACAAGUAAAGGCCAUCGUGCUAACAUCCCAUUGACCAAGAAUCUUGCCAGAUGAACCGUGACCAUGCUGACUUGCAGCUGCAGUAAAGUAAUAGAACACUAUUGACUGGUAGAAGGCAAAGAAACCCCACACCGCAAUCACUUUCCACCGGAAGAAUGUGUUCCUAAUUCCUUCUUGGUAAAGUUGUGGGUAUUUUUUUGAUAGAGAUGCACUCACAUCCUGAAAGGGUUCAGUUUAGUGAAUGUAGCAAGGAGCGUCACUCCAGAACAAGAAAAGUAGAACAAAUACAAGCAACCAUACCUUAUCAAACAACCCAACCAUAAUUACAGGUAGUGCCGUGAAAAUGACAUUAUACAGAGACUGGAACCAGUCAUCAUAAAAUCGCUGACCAGAAAAGCCAGUUUGGAAAGUGAACCAGAACUGAGUUAGUGUAAAAGUCAGAUUCUUGUAGAAGAAGUAUGUGAUAACCUGAAACAGAAAGUGUCAAUGUUAAAAAAAUUAAACUACACAGAUUGGCAGCUACAAGCUAAGGGACCAAAGCAUACCUUGCACAAUCUCAAGUAUGACCACCGCCCAUGUACAAGAAGUAAAUCCGUAAGAUAUCGAAACUGAGCAAUGGCAAAAUCACUCGCCAUAACAGCUUGCAUUCCUUCUUGUCCGCUGAUGCCAAUACCAACAUGAGCAGCUUGAAUCAUACUCACAUCAUUAGCACCAUCACCAAUACUGAGAGUUAUCUUACGUGCACCUUUCCUAACUAAACUUGCAACCUACAAAUGUGUCAACAUUACAUGUUUUGGCAUCAUUCGAACCCAACAGGUUAUUAGGAAAUAAAUCCAAAAAUAAGAGACUUUGAGAUUGCUGAUGGGAUGGGUAACAACCAAAUAAGCACAUAUACAAUAAGUUAAUUAAUACUACCUUUGUUUCAAAAUAUUAUACCAAAACGUCUUAUAUUUUGAAACAGAGAUAGUACUUAUAGUACAAGAGUGUACAGGACAUUUAGUUAAGAGGCCAAAACUAGAAUAGCAAAAGCAACCAAUGCACAGUGGUUAAUAAUGAUCUUGUGAAUCAUGCACAAACUAUUUUGUUGUCAAGGUACAAAAUUGGAUCCUUUAAAAUGUAAUAAUAUCAAUAUCCCCCGUUUAUUGCCCAAGCAUCCUGAAAGGCAUGCAGCUGAGAGCUGCAGACCAUACUGCUAAUUAUUUCAUGGGAAAAGGCAAGGCAUGCAUGAUAAGAACGCUAAAAGCGAGAAUUGAUAUUUACCUGUGCCUUUUGCAGUGGAGAAACUCGACAACAUACAACUGAUUGGCAAAUUAAACUCAAACCAAGAAGAUUCACACGCAGAGCUGGGUCUAGAGCGUACAUCAAGCAUCGUCCAUCAAUAAUGAAAGCCAACUUUCGUCCUGGCGUGCUCCUCAAAGAACGGUGGGCUUCCUCAAGGUAACUUCUCAGACUCUGUUUUACCGAGUCUUUGAUAACACGUGCAAUUUCCACAGGGUCUCCCUGAAAAUGACUGGAACAUUAUUCAUGGCAAAGAUAUGUGCAUAAGUUGAUUUACAUCAAUCAGAUACAAAUGCUAAAUUGCUAAUUAUGGUUGAUCAAACUGCAAAACACACGAGAUAUCCAAAAGGCUAUAUAAACAUGAUGGAGAGGCUAAAGCACUGAAACAACAGAAUCAACAUAAAGUAUUUUGUACUAUUAUGCAACUAAGCCUUUUGUCCCAAGCAAGUUGGGGCAGGCUAGAUAUGAAACCCAAACAGAAACUAAAGCAAAGUGCAGGUAACAAAAGAGCAAGAGAGUAAAUCAAGGUUCAGGCACAUGGACUGCUGAUUUCCAUGCAGCCCUAUCAAAAGCAAAAUCUCUAGAUACAUUCCAGUCCUUCAAGUCCCUUUAACUGCCUCCUACCAAAAGCAAAUAUCAUAGUAAUCCACCAACCAAAGUAACAAGGGAACUACUUGUAACUUCUUAGUUCACAAGUACAUACCAGUUGAGCUAUCCAAUUAUUCUAAAUAAUAUGGUUUGAUACCUUUACCAAAGUCUCAACUUGUAUUCAUUUUAAAGCUUAUACAAGAUAUUAUAUGUUAUGGCUUAACAGUCUCCAUGACACAAUAUGGCUUGACUUCACAGUUUAAUUCUAUAGGAUUAUCUUACCCUGUCUUCAGCAUCUCUAAUUGCAUCUGUCUCAGAAGUGAUGAUGAAUUGUUUUGUAUCGUUAUUCACCAGGCUGCACGCUGCAGAGCAAAAACUAAAUAACUUCAGAAGCUUUUCUAUGUCAGGUGAAAGAGAGAGAAAAAGACCGCCCGCCCCCCACCAAUAAUCCAAAACUGAGCUUCUAUUAGACCCCUUAAGAACGAAACAAGCAUGCAAAUUGAUCUAUAUAUAAUUAAAACCUCACCAUAUGCUAUAUUAAUUGCUGUUUCCAUUUUAUCUCCAGUUAGCACCCAAAUUUUUAUGCCAGCUGCAGAAAGAGUUUCAAUGCAGGCUGGAACCCCUUCUUGCAGUUUGUCUUCUAUUGCAGUGCACCCUAUCAAUAUAAGGUCCUUUUCAAUCAACUCAGCCACCUACAGGGGAAGAAACAGAAGGAAAUUAUAUGGCAAUGUCCCAGCAAUAUCUUAAAUCAGAAUAUACAUUAAGUCUAUUACUUCAAAUUCCUUUUUCCUAGAAAUCACAGUGAACUUAGUACAUGAAAGAAUGAAAGGAUAAUGCUUUUCUAAUGGGGAUUUGAAAAAACAUCAUAAAAAUAAUAAUAUAAAGUACUGUAUGUUCUUGUUCUAGAUAAAUUACAAAUAUCUUUUGCUCAUGAUCCUCUUUCCUGACUAAAAAAUAUAUAUUAUUAUGUAAAAUACUAAUGUUCUAUGGCAGUACAAGAUAAUAAAUUAGCACAAAAAACUAUUAAACUGCAAAUGUCAGCUGUUAGGGAUGGAUGACAUGACUCCUGUAGUUUUGGGGGGAGAGAGAGAGGAGACACACUGAACAAAUUACUUCCUUCGUCUCCAAAGAUUGCCAUGCCACAUUCUAUUCGGUCAGUCAACCUUUUACAACUUCAAAAUUAACAAUUAUAAGUGAAUUGAAUUACUACAUGAAAAAUAACAGCACUCAAUUUGCUUGCAUAAUAAUUUGUACGCAAAACUUUUGCUUGUAUAUUAGCAUAGAAAUCAUAGCCAGAGUUUUAUGUUGGGAGAAUAUAAAAUUAAAAAAUGGCCUACAUUUGUCAGGUACAUUCAGUUAAUUGUUUCCAAAACCAAAUUAAUUUUCAUACAUAAAUACCAAACGGAUCAAUAGCAUGCUCAACAGUGCACAUGAGACUCGAGUUCAGUACUGGAUGACAGAAAGUAAAAAAAAUCAGGCAAGCACUAGAAGGUGGAGGGGAAGUAAUCGAAAUUCAAAUCACAGGGACUGUUCAGCCUGUAUACUCAACAGAAGAGGAUGGUACACAUACCUCAUCAAGCUUCUUAUCACGAUCUCGUAAAGAAGAUUUAGCUUGAACAAACUUCUCAUUCCAGCUUUCGUACUGCUCCCUGCUUAGAUCUCGAUAAGCAAGGCAAAGCGUGCGCAAGCCAGCAGAGCCAAAUUGUUCUAGAUGUUCUCUGCUUGUCUUUUUAAUGUCAUGAUUUCCAUCAGCUAACCGUUCAAAAAUGACAUUAUCAGCGCCCUGUUACACAACAUUUGUAUAAGGUUAGUGCAUCAAUCUACAAAGUGAUAGCUACAUAAAGAUUCUUUUUUCUUGUAUUACCUUGCAAUACAGAACAAGUUUUCCAUUUGGGAAACGGCAAACCACAGAUUGGCGCUUUCUUGUACUGUGAGUGCAGUAAAGUGUGAAGUGCAGAACAAUGAUUUCAUCUUGUCAAAUUUAAAUUGAAAACAGAUAAACCAGACCUGUUGAAUUCCAAAACAUUCAGAAUUUCAUAUGCAACAUCUUGUAUACUCCCCAUCCUCUCAACAUGUGAUUCCCGAACCAAGACUGUGGUUGGCGUACGUCUACAAGACAGGCACAAAAUGUCAACCACCGGCAUUGCCAUUCACAAUAAAAAUGCCACAUGAAAUAAUUUGCAACAAAAAUCAUAAGAACUUAGAUGAGUUCAUGUUCACAGCACUUGCUUUAACACUUGUCUUAAUUUACAACGGCAAUUUUUUGUUGAUGGGCUAAUAGUUUAUUUAUGCUUCUUAGUAUGUACAUUCAGUCCUUCAUACAACAAACUAUAUAAGCAAUAACCUGGGUGAGUGACUCUUUUAUGCACAUUUUCCUUGGGACCAUAGCAUAGUUUUUUAAGAUACCUUGUUUGCAACAAACUGAUAAGAGGAAUCUAUAACUGUAUUUAAAGGCAAGGUAAGACAUGCCUAUAAAAGAAGAAACCAAAAUUCUUCGCAGCAGCGACAAGCGCGGCCUCGUCGGGAGAGGCAGCUUGAUAAGUAAUCUUUUCCGGUGUCUCCUCACCCUCAGGAAGAACUGUAUGACAGAUUGCAAGGCAUCUGCAGAAUUGCUAUAGAGCAAAUAACAAAGUUGUUACACAACUAGCACAUUAACAAGGGAAAAUGUGAAAAAGGAAAAUAGGUUCCAAAUUUUAUUAGUAAGGGCAUAUAUCGUGAUAUGUGAAUAAUUUGUGUCAACUAAAUCAAAACUGAUUAUGACCAAAGGGGAACCAAUCGAACUAUUCCACAGGUAGUCCCGUAUUUACCACGCAAGCAUCAGGAUUAGGUUCAUUUCUCCAUGCACCACGCAUUAUUCUAGCAUCAUCAAAGUUGAAUCCUUUCUCAUGAACUGCAGUGGCUGAUCUUUUACCCUAAAAAAGGCAAGUAAACUGGAUAUUAAAUCAGUUGUGCAUUAAAUUUUUCAUCAUAUACCACCACACUUCAAUAGCGUAAACAACAAAGAAAAUGUUGUAGACCUCAUCAUCAUCAAUCUUGACUCCGGCUCGCUCGGCUCCUCCUUUUUCAAUCUCUGUGAUGCCAGUUCCAUAUAUUUCCCCUCCAAUCGAACAUUUAAAGAAUUCCAUCAAGUUUCUUGUAAGUGUUCCAGUUUUGUCAGAAAAUAUAUACUCAACCUGAACCAUUAGUGGGGCAAAAAAAAUUUGGCAGAAAUGUCAAAUUAUUUGCAAGUGUUAAGUGCAUUUUAGUACCACUCGGCAUUUGUUCAGUCAUAUAAGCAUUUCUGGGGAUCUAGAACAGUUUUUCGGUGGGAGUAAGUCACUUAAUAUUAGUGAAAUGAGACUGUUCCCCAAGUGCUUAUAAUUGAUCCCACUUUCUGGAAUGAGUCGGUGCAGUGAGGUCAUUCUAUCCAUUAACCAAACCCAGCCAUAUAGGUCAAAUAAGUAAAUAACCCCAUUUCAGCAACAAACAAAGGGGCUUUCAUCAAACUAAACAGAAUGCUAAGGAACAAAAAAAAAACUGAUAUUACCUGCCCAAGCUCCUCAUUCAGAUUAGAAGUCCGAGCCAAAGCUGGGGUGUUGCUCUCGGCAUGAUACAUAUUCAGAUCAUUGUUAAUAAACUUUGCACACUGAAUGAAUUUGAUCAUCUGCCAGCCAAAAUAAACAUAAGGUCCAAUCCAAAUACAGGGUACACUAAAUGAUAAAUUGGUCAAUAUACCUCAAUGGAUACAUAAAGAGAAAUGGGGAUGAUCGUUGAGUAUAGAGUUAUUAGAGUAAACAUAGUUAAAAUGGUCACCUGCAAAAGUACAAACCUAUGAUAUAAGGCCACUUAGAGAAUAUUCUCUACAAUAAAUUAACUAAAAUAAUAUAUACCACAAAUCUGUUCUUGGGAUUAAACUGGUCCUCGACACGCCCACGCAAUCCAAGAUAGAAGUAUUUCUCAUUAAUAAACACGCCACUGUUCACAAAAGCCAAGUAUGAUGAGUCCAUUGGUAGAGUUUUAGGUUUCUAAAGAACGUGCAAGCUAAGCAGUCAUAGUUACCAAAAUCUAUAUGCUGAACAGAGCACUUCCAUUUCUGACCAUCUAGAAAGUGCCCUAUUAUGUACCUCCCACAUAAAACCACUAAGAAAAAAGAUAAGGCUAUUAAGACCUAGUCAUGUGCUCAUCUAUACUGCUCCUAUGCCACAAUAAAAAAAUAACUUCCCCAAACAAGCUCCUGACAACUCAUGUCAUAAUGUUUAAAGUUUAUCUCUCUAUUAACAGUUGUUUUUUCAUGAUCAAUUAAAUUGUGAAAAAUGAUUGUGCAAGCAUAAGCCUCCACAACAUCAACCUAACCGAUAUAACUCAUGUUCAGAGAAUAUACAUGUAAACAAUAAUACAAGAUAGAUAAGUCAAAUAAAUGAAGUGGGCCAAAUAAAACACUGACCUUCCAAUAGCACCAAUGACACACAUCGUAAAGAGGGUUGCAAAUAGAGCAAGAAUAAGCUUGUCUAGUUUCUUCUCCAAUGUACUUCUUUUAGAGGGAACAUUCAUAGAAUUCAUCAUAACCUGCAAUAGUGUCCCACUGCAGUAAAUCUCAAAACUAGAAGCACAUCUAACCUACAAGUUGAAUAUAUAGGGACACAAAAUUGCACAUACUUUCGUCUCAUGGCCCGUGAAUAUAACAGCCGCGACAAUGUACUCUGUAUUACGAAGGCUGCAUCCCUGUGGCAAAGUGGUAAUAAGAGGUUGCAUGUGUGCCACAUAAAGAGAGAGAAUUAAGUGUCAUGCAAGACACCGUUCAGUCUGGUGAAAGUAAACAUUUCUUUUGCACUUUACAAACAUUGCUUCAACCCUUCACCACUUAUCCUACAUAUGGGACUAGAGAAGAAAUGGAAGUUGUUUAUAUGAAUGUUAAACAUUUCCAAAUUGUUUAUAUCAUAGCUAUCCUUGUUUGCAAACCAAUAAGAACAAUAUUAUUAUAGAGGUGUUUUAUGAUGAAAAUUUCUGCUGGUGACAUUUGGGUGUCGUCAAUAUUGGUAUUUGGAGGAGAUGUUGGUGAUCAAAGUUAAAGGCCGAGUAAAGGCAUCACGCUAUGAUGUUAUUUUUUACCUGAGGGAUUUUCUUAACAAACUCAUGCUAAAUCUAGAACAUGCAAACAACUUUGCAGGUGGACAAUCUUGUAAAGAAAUUUCAAGGGCAUGUUUGUGUGAGGGGUAUUACUUUGGUACGUGUUGGUAACUACAUACCUAAUUGUUACAAGAAAAAUCUCAUCCAAACAAGCCCUAAGGACAUUAUGGACCUUGCUACUGCAAAGUUGGUAAGUCGAAAAUACGACAGGAUGUCUGAUUGAUAUGUAGGACCUGGACCCACAUGUCAUUCUCACAGCGAGUCGCACUAUUUCAAAUGUCAACUUUGUGGUGGCAUGGUUUCAAUUUUCCCAAUAAGAAACUAGAUACAAAUAGCAUAGAUGAACAGCACUUACCCUUAGUAGUAUUUGAUUUGGUGAAAUUGGUAUAGUUUGCUUGUCCACAAUAAGGUUCCCGGUAAAUGUAUAAAGUGAAUUGUUUGGCUGUUCGCAUUGUAUUUCACCUGUAAGCCAUGAAACAUACAGAUAAUGUGAAGUUAAGAAAAUGUAGAAUAGUUAAGUGAAGUUCAGAAAAGGAGCAAUGCUUCCUACACCAACUACCGAAAAAUGUCUGCAACAUGGAACAAGAAUAGAUAAAAACCUUUGAAUUCAGAAGCCUUUUCAGGAAUUACGCAGUCCCAGGUUUUCUCCAAAGCCUUCCUUAUUUUCAGGUUAGUUUCCCCAUCAAGAUUUGCUGUCUAAGGUAAAUAGAAGUAUGAUACACUUCAAUUAAAACAGAGUUUCUCUAAAUCAUUCAAUAAUUUCAAUUUGGACAAAAGAUGGAGAAGGUAAGAAUGAAUAUAUUGACCUCUAUGUAGCAGACACCAUCAGGGUUCGUACUUGAUAGGAAGAGCAAGUCAGAAGGAAAGUAAGUGUCUUGCUUGAUCUGCUCUAAAGAAGUGCCAUCACUAUUAGUCUUUUUGGAUAUGUGUAUCGAGCUGAAGAUUAAAUUUGCACAGCACAAAAGAUCAAGUGCAUUAAUUUGUGGAAGCAACAGAUCAAUUGAAUUGAUCAUCAAAUUGCUAUCAGGAAAGAUGAAGACAUUACCCUCACAAUAUCUCCAACCUGCAGUCUUUUCCAAGGGGCACUUUCCCAUUUUUGACCUUGCAAUACAUCGACGUGCGCAUUAUUAAUUGACAUGUCAUUCUGGAAACGUUUCUGUAUAAUGGGAGGCAAACAAAAAGGGAAGAAUAUCAGAUAACAUUAAGAAUAGCAAUAAAAUAGUGGAGCAACAGAGCAUGAGAGCAAUACUAACCCAGUCCUCAAAAGCUUCCUUGAUGAGUGAAACCAAAAGCACUAAACUAAGUGGAACCACAUUGGUGACAGGGUGGACUGGACUGCGAAGAUACAAGCAUGUAUGAACUAAGAUUUCUAGAAGUAAAGGUGAAGGAAAGCAAAGGAUGACUGAAUCAACUGAUGGACUUGAUAUGCUAAGAAGUGUCUAGCUGUAACAUGAGAAUUCCAUAGGGUGCAUGCAUGAGAGAGAGAGAGAGACCUAAUUGGUGUAGUCGACAAGAUUGAAAUCAUAAGAAAGUAAAGAUUUGCCACCCGUCUGAACUGUCAAAGCAAAAAAAAAAACAAAUGAAUUACAAAAGGUUCCUAUGGUCAAAUUGCGAUAAUACAGAAAGGGAACAUCUAAAUCGGUGUUACAGCUACCAUUGCAAAGUUUCUUUAUUCGAUAUGGAAAAAUGCAUUACAUGUUUAAUGUAUGAAGCCAUUGAAAUACUUUAAUGUACCUUACGUAAAAAACAGUGGAUAAUGAAAUUGCCAGAAUUAUGGUAUCGCAUAAAAUGAAGGUUACAUUGAGCGAAAAGCAUGAUCAGGGCUUUACCAAAUAACAAAAUCAUACUUCUCCUUUUCUCAAUAUAUGGCAUUUUAGGUUUCAUUGAAGACAAGUCUUUGAAAAGGAUUUACUUUGUGUUGUUUUUAAGGCAUGAAAUUUAUAUCACUAGAUUCAUCCUCAAAAGUACUUAAUGUGGAUUCAUAUCAUAUAAAUCACAUAUUAAUGAAGUAAUUCUUGGUCAAAGUCUUGUAUUAACGAAACCUAAUAUGUCCUGUAUUGACAAAAUGAGGGAGUAUAUUAUCUAACAGUGCAUGUAUACAGGCACGAUACUGGUAGCGCGUAUUACAAGCAAGGUAUCUUAAAAACAUUGCAACACAGUGCCAGACCAGGUAAGCAACUAAGCAUCUCAUGUAUCCACUAUUUUAAGGGAAGUUGAUCCAGAGUGAGGAAAUAAACAUUUUUAAGGAGAUAUAUCAAUUUGCAAUGUGAAAAUGAUACGGAGUAGUAUAAUCAUUUCACUGUGAUAACAAAUACUCCCUCCGUUCUAAAUACUUGUCGCUGUUUUAGUGCAAACUAAAACAGCGACAAGUAUUUAGGAACAGAGGGAGUAACUUCCAUUUACCGUUAGACAUGAUACAAAAUAAUAUGUUGAAAAAAAAUCUAGCCAAAAACUAAAAAACAAACAGAAAAUCUGCAUUAAACGAUGACAAACCCAGCAGGUAUGUUGAUUAACAAAAUAUGUAUGAACAAAAAACAACGCAUCAAUACCUGUUCAAACAAUCCUUUAGGUAGAAAUGUCAGCACACUGUACUUUGUAGUCGACACAGAAUUUCCCUGGAAAUGUAGAAUGAGAAUGUUAAAGAACUAAUUCUAGCAGAAAAACAAAGUAGCGCUCUGCAUUAGAAUCGCGAUGGUCUGAUACCCAACAUGAGGGAGAUUCUGAAACUAAACAGAAGAGCUAAUUGCAACUAGAAGCAUGAAAAAAGUAUAGCUUGAUCUUUUUACAACAUCAAGUCUGAAUACAUUCAAGCAUUUACACUAACUUGGAACAAAAUGUGGGUGUCAAAGAAAAUGCAUGAAUACACCUACUUACAAUAAAGCACCAAUUUUGCAGUGAUUGGACAAACUAUGGUUAAAAUACUUAAUAAUAGAGUUCUACGUAUUUGGAGGCAUAAAACGCAUUGCAGUUGGAGCAGUGGCAUUAUCAUGUUAGUCAGUCUAACAUGGCAGUGAAUGACGUGAAUUUUUUGCUAGUUUAGACCUCUGGCCAGCGCAAUUGACAAAAAUGCCCCCCUCUCAAAACUAAUGCCAAAAAUGGUCUGGCAGAAGGCCCGAAAGGCGCCACAUUUCAUUUUUCGCCAUCUGAGCUGCGCAUGCAAACAUUCCGACAACCUGAAAGGCGGAAAGGCCGUUCCGCCUACUGCAUUUGAUGAAUGCACCUGACAAGGGCGGAAGGUGAACUGGGCCCUGCAGAUGGAAGCAAUUUCCACAUUUGUUACAGACCUGGAAUCUUUUUUUUUGUUGGAGUCGACGGACCAUGUAUGUGCGGAUGCAUAGGAAUCGGCAAGCAGCCUAGCUGCUAGUUCACGGGCACGUUUUACAUUUUCUUUCCUCAGGUUUGGCUAGUGCUACCACGUUGAUACUAAUCAACGCUUCUUGUGAAUGGGCUUAGUUGCUUCUACUAGUCGUGCGAGCGUUAAUCUUUUCUCUGUGCGCCUGCAUGUGCGGGCGUGGGAAUCGGGUCAGGUCCCUGCAGACAGCACGCCUGGCUGCACUGGGCCUGCUUCAGCUUCCGCCCCUGAAAAUUCACUUUCGUCCAUUUCAACUGGAAACAAGUAGGCUCCACCUGUCCUGUUGGCGGAAAGUUCAUUCCUCCUACCCAGUGGCCACUGGGUCAGUUGCUGGGCUUUCCACCACGUCAUUUUUCAAAUUAUAUUUCAGAUGGAGCUAUUUUUGCCAAUUCCGUUUGACAAGGGGCUACAAGAGCAAAGAAAUUGAAUGACAUAGCAAGCAAUCAAUUUCCCCUUAUAGGUAAAUAAUAAACAGCUUUGCUUCAGCUUACUGUCAUCAGCUGGUGGCUGACUGCCCUGACCAAACACAAGUUCAGUAAUCUACACAGCAAGCGGCACACAGGUGCAGCUAAGCACAUGGAUGAACAGAAUAUUCCAGCCAUUGAGGCUCAGCUCUCGAAGCUUAAUGCCAGGUGGCAUCUACAUUGUAUUGCAGCCCGUAGCACCCUGAUUGACUAGUAACCCAACAAUGAGACAAGCUCUAAUCCACCCAAUGACCUCACAGUUGGCAAGAAAUGCAGCCCUUAGUGACACGCACCACCCUACAUAACUUUCUCGUGGACUAAUCAGUAUGAAUCAUAUAAACCCUCUGCAAGCUGCAGUGAAAUAAAACUACUACUACUGAACUAGCUAUUGUCCCAGAUGGCCAUCUCCAACCCAACCGCCCAAGCAUGAAACAAGGGGCCAGUUACGAGAUCUAGGCCUACAGACCCCUAGACCUUGAGACAACCGACCUGUUGAUCAUCCGAAUUAGAGGAGGAGGUGCACACCCGU
Molecule: long non-coding RNA, 17823 nt
Filed under: Brachypodium distachyon (stiff brome)
Lineage: Eukaryota; Viridiplantae; Streptophyta; Magnoliopsida; Poales; Poaceae
Description: long non-coding RNA (BDIS_LNC003394)
Source: RNAcentral